Molecule: ribosomal RNA, 443 nt
Filed under: uncultured bacterium
Lineage: Bacteria
Description: partial 16S ribosomal RNA
Rfam family: Bacterial small subunit ribosomal RNA
Source: RNAcentral
CCUACGGGUGGCAGCAGUGGGGAAUAUUGGGCAAUGGGCGCAAGCCUGACCCAGCAACGCCGCGUGAAGGAAGAAGGCUUUCGGGUUGUAAACUUCUUUUGUCAGGGACGAAGCAAUUGACGUUACCUGACGAAUAAGCCACUGCUAACUACGUGCCAGCAGCCGCAGUAAUACGUAGGUGGCAAGCGUUAUCCGGAUUUAUUGGGUGUAACGGCCGUGUAGGCGGGAAUGCAAGUCAGAUGUGAAAACUAUGGGAUCAACCCCUAGACUGCAUUGGAAACUGUAUUUGGUGAGUGCUGGAGAGGCAAUCGGAAUUCCGUGUGUAGAGGUGAAAUGCGUAGAUAUACGGAGGAACACCAGUGGGGAAGGCGGAUCGCUGGACAGUAACCGACGCUGAGGCGCGAAAGCGUGGGGAGCCAACAGGAUUAGAUACCCUGGUAGUC